Molecule: ribosomal RNA, 253 nt
Filed under: uncultured bacterium
Lineage: Bacteria
Description: partial 16S ribosomal RNA
Rfam family: Bacterial small subunit ribosomal RNA
Source: RNAcentral
UACGGAGGAGGCAAGCGUUAUCCGGAAUUAUUGGGCGUAAAGGGCGCGUAGGCGGCUAGAUGUGUCAAAGGUGAAAUCCCUCGGCUCAACUGAGGAACUGCCUUUGAAACUGUCUGGCUUGAGGCCGGGAGAGGGUAGCGGAAUUCCCAGUGUAGCGGUGAAAUGUGUUGAUAUUGGAAGGAACACCGGUGGCGAAGGCGGUGAUCUGGGCCGACACUGACGCUGUAGAGCGAAAGCGUGGGGAGCGAACAGG